GUCGGGAGGGCGGCAGCCAUACAACACCCUGUAAAGGGGAAAGCUGCCCGCCGUCUACUUCCGGUUUUUGACCUCCCGACACCUACGG
The sequence is a small RNA, 88 nucleotides long. It matches the Rfam family "sRNA-Xcc1". The record is from Rfam.